Esox lucius (northern pike) is the source of this 1030-nucleotide long non-coding RNA. NCBI's taxonomy places the organism in Eukaryota, Metazoa, Chordata, Actinopteri, Esociformes, Esocidae. The record is from Ensembl.
GAAAAUAUUUAUUUGCAGAUGUCGCAGGUAAUGCAACAUAUUAUUAGCUAAAUAUGUUAAGCUAACGUCACAGUUUUUAAAGAGUACAAUUUGCAAAGGCACUUCCAGAGCAAGUAUGCAGCGAAAUACUAAAAAUGUCACCCGAUGCUACAAUUCAACAAGUCCAAGCCUCACUGAUGAACAUCUUGCAGCAGCACCGCACACUGCUUCAACAGUACCGCACACUGCUUCAACAGAAAUGACUCCUGACUUCACCUCACUUGUCAACGCCCAUACGAGGCUCUCCUGUUCAUAUUGAGUCAUUUGACUCCACAAAGGAAGGAAGAAGUCACCAGGUCCGCUGCUGCUAGUGGCAAUGCAAAUCCAUCAUGGACGCUGCAGGUCAAGUCAUUAUUAUUCACAUUCAUUCUUGCAAAGAUGAAUAUGCUUCUGAAAUGACCCUUUCCAUCACAGUAGUACAUUCUAUUAUAAACCCUAUAAAGAAUAGUCUAGUCCCCUCAGACAUAGGCUUUGUCCCAGAUGACCUCCUAUUCCCUGUAAUGCCCAGGAUCUGUCCAGGGUUAUGAAGAGCCGUGUGGCGUAUGGGUGGUGCAAUUUGGGAUGCGGACUGAUCCGUCCCCGGUUCUCUCCUCUCCCAGCCACUCCCUACCCCCACUGUUUCCUGUGCCUGUGCCCAAGGUCAGCCUUAAUAAUGACAGACUCAGCAGGCUCCUGCCAUCCCAGCCUGGCUCUCUGUGCCCGGUUAUACCCCCUUUACAUCACCGUCCGGAGUCCCUUCAGGUGCCGCCCAAACCCCCCUCUAUUCAAGGUAGUGGGUAGAGUGUGUCAGCUGGGACAACGCCACGGUCACACCACGUUCACUGCAGCCAUCCUUCCACCUACACCAAGUCACAUAGAGACAGGCAGAAGGCACAGUCAGAAGUCUAUUACUGGGCAGGCAGCGGAGAGAGAGACUCAUCACUAUGUAUCGCAUCAUCAGCUUGGGCCUCAUCGUGUAUUUAUGGCCCAUUCGCUCAGAUCCAGUUUUAUU